This 450-nucleotide ribosomal RNA is filed under the name uncultured bacterium. RNAcentral's name for it is "SSU rRNA". It matches the Rfam family "Bacterial small subunit ribosomal RNA", at positions 26 to 518 of the family's 1533-position model. The record is from RNAcentral.
AGAGCGAACGCUGGCGGCAGGCUUAACACAUGCAAGUCGAGCGGGCGUAGCAAUACGUCAGCGGCAGACGGGUGAGUAACGCGUGGGAACAUACCUUUUGGUUCGGAACAACACAGGGAAACUUGUGCUAAUACCGGAUAAGCCCUUACGGGGAAAGAUUUAUCGCCGAAAGAUUGGCCCGCGUCUGAUUAGCUAGUUGGUGAGGUAACGGCUCACCAAGGCGACGAUCAGUAGCUGGUCUGAGAGGAUGAUCAGCCACAUUGGGACUGAGACACGGCCCAAACUCCUACGGGAGGCAGCAGUGGGGAAUAUUGGACAAUGGGCGCAAAGCCUGAUCCAGCCGAUGCCGCGUGAGUGAUGAAGGCCCGUAGGUUGUAAAGCUCUUUUGUGCGGGAAGAUAAUGACGGUACCGCAAGAAUAAGGCCCGACUAACUUCGCGCCAGCAGCCGC